CAGCAAGGACCAGAGACUGCAUUCCCCUGACAGUUUUUUUUUUAAAUUUUUUGCAGAACUGACCAUGCUGUUAGCCUAGAGAAAGAAAGUUAUGCUGUUGAGCCAUAUGCUUUCCUGUUAUGUUCUGCAGAGAAUAAAGCUGUGAUUAGCUAUUGCCACUUCAGUUUUAGCAGAUUGACACCUCUCAAAUGCCAAGAUAUGCCCAAAUAAGCCCACAACAAAUGCUUGUGAAUGGACAGGCAACUGCAUAGCAGUCAUGAGCACCCUGAUGGACCAGCUGCCUGAAGGGGACAGGUUGGAUCCUCUGCAACCUGAUUUUAUCCAUUCAGGACAGCAGUGCAGGGAAAAAAACACAGCCAGGAGGGGCAUCAUCUCCUGCUUCUCCUCCUGUCUCCACCCCAUCUAACAGCUCAGCAGCAGAAAGGAUAGGCUUGUCUCCAAAGAGAAUAAUGGUAUGUUAAUGAGAGCCCUGCUCCCUGAAACUGCUGGUUCCUGUACUUUGGCUCUGGCUGUGGUGUUGGAGAACAUGGAAUACCAUAUUUUACUGUGCAGGCUGCACAGAUUCCCCUGCUGCGCCAAUCCCCGCGUGUGAACCUCAGCCAUCACCAUCUCGUGCCUUCAAGGUACUGCAUGCUUGUAGGGCUGAAGUCAGAGCUGAGGAGCCUGUCCUGCUUUCCACAAGCCUGUGAAUUUCACUAAUGCCACCAAGGGUUUUAUGUCUGCCAGUACCAGACCCCCCCAGUUUAUUCUGCCCUUGUUCCCUGCUUUUGUAACCCAGAUAUUUGCAUAAAACAGAGCAGCAAUGCCAAGUGCUGGUGCCUUCAU
RNAcentral lists this long non-coding RNA (825 nucleotides) under Cyanistes caeruleus (blue tit). Its description in RNAcentral is "lncRNA (ENSCCEG00000007311.1)". Lineage: Eukaryota; Metazoa; Chordata; Aves; Passeriformes; Paridae. The record is from RNAcentral.